AAUUCUCAACCUUUCAAGCUUUGUUAAAAGGCUAGUCAGGCUUGGAUCUUGGGAGUUUGCUGGUUCUCGCAGUCCAGCUCUCCUUAAAUGCAUUAGCAAGAUUAAUCGCUGAACUAUCGUUGAUAUGAUAAUUAUCUAUAUCAUUGAUUAAGCAGUGUUUUCCUCAAAGGAAAGAUCUGGCUUUCUAACUGUCCUUUGGGACAAUUCAAAGAAUC
Molecule: unclassified non-coding RNA, 215 nt
Filed under: Entoloma pseudocoelestinum
Lineage: Eukaryota; Fungi; Basidiomycota; Agaricomycetes; Agaricales; Entolomataceae
Description: partial internal transcribed spacer 2
Source: RNAcentral